GGCAAUCCCUGAUGCCACCACUCCCUGCAAUUUCAACACACAAAAUUUGAAAAAGAAGCUUCUCGUUCUCUUCGUUUUCAAACUAUACCCACCACUCUCGCAUUAUUGCUUAACCACUUUUGGAUGAUAUCCUAUGUAACAACUAAUAACAAGCUUACAAACAUUUUAAAGAUAUUUUUUAUAUUAAAAGAAUAAAAAAGGUGAUCUAGUUAUUAGCAAUUUAGCAACUGGGUUUGCACAUGUUAAAAGCCUAAAGAGUUACCCUUUAUUUCUGAUGGAAUGUGACUUAUCAGGCUUUUGAACAGUUUCCAAAGUACAUACACGGGGAUAACUCUAUUUGGUCUUUCACUACACAUCUUUUCAUUAUUUUUCUUUUAUUAUUUAAUUUGUAUAAACAAAAGGCACAAACUAAAUUAAUGUAUCAAUUAAUUUGGUCUUAAUUAGUUGCAUGACUCGGUGCCAUGGACAUAUGAAAGGAUUAAGGAAUAAUUAUUUAGAUGUAAGGAGACAAUUAAGGAUACGAGUACUAACUGCAUAGAGGAUGGUGAAUAGUU
RNAcentral lists this unclassified non-coding RNA (554 nucleotides) under Hevea brasiliensis (rubber tree). Lineage: Eukaryota; Viridiplantae; Streptophyta; Magnoliopsida; Malpighiales; Euphorbiaceae. The record is from RNAcentral.